This 459-nucleotide ribosomal RNA is filed under the name uncultured bacterium. RNAcentral describes it as "partial 16S ribosomal RNA". It matches the Rfam family "Bacterial small subunit ribosomal RNA", at positions 338 to 795 of the family's 1533-position model. The record is from RNAcentral.
CCUACGGGUGGCAGCAGUGAGGAAUAUUGGUCAAUGGGCGCGAGCCUGAACCAGCCAAGUCGCGUGAGGGAAGACGGUCCUCUGGAUUGUAAACCUCUUUUGUCGGGGAGCAAAAGACGCCACGCGUGGCGUUCCGAGAGUACCCGAAGAAAAAGCAUCGGCAAACCCCGUGACAGCAGCCGCGUUAAUACGGAGGUUGCGAGCGUUCUCAGGAUUUAUUGGGUUAAAGGGGUGCGCAAGCGGAAGAUCAAGUCAGCGGUAAAAUUGAGGGGCUCAACCUCUUCGAGCCGUUGAAACUGGUUGUCUUGAGUGAGUGAGAAGUAUGCGGAAUGCGUGGUGUAGCGGUGAAAUGCAUAGAUAUCACGCAGAACUCCGAUGGCGAAGGCAGCAUACCGGCGCUCAACUGACGCUCAUGCACGAAAGUGUGGGUAUCGAACAGGAUUAGAUACCCGGGUAGUC